Molecule: transfer RNA, 69 nt
Filed under: Epinephelus merra (honeycomb grouper)
Lineage: Eukaryota; Metazoa; Chordata; Actinopteri; Perciformes; Serranidae
Description: tRNA-Arg
Source: RNAcentral
CGGAGAUUAGUUUAAAAAAAACCCUUGAUUUCGGCUCAAGCACUUAUGGUUAAACCCCAUAAUCUCCUA